Molecule: ribosomal RNA, 800 nt
Filed under: Microbacterium sp.
Lineage: Bacteria; Bacillati; Actinomycetota; Actinomycetes; Micrococcales; Microbacteriaceae
Description: bacterial SSU rRNA
Rfam family: Bacterial small subunit ribosomal RNA
Source: RNAcentral
ACCAUGCAAGUCGAACGGUGAAGCCCCGCUUGCUGGGUGGAUCAGUGGCGAACGGGUGAGUAACACGUGAGCAACCUGCCCCUGACUCUGGGAUAAGCGCUGGAAACGGCGUCUAAUACUGGAUACGAGACGUGAUCGCAUGGUCAACGUUUGGAAAGAUUUUUCGGUUGGGGAUGGGCUCGCGGCCUAUCAGCUUGUUGGUGAGGUAAUGGCUCACCAAGGCGUCGACGGGUAGCCGGCCUGAGAGGGUGACCGGCCACACUGGGACUGAGACACGGCCCAGACUCCUACGGGAGGCAGCAGUGGGGAAUAUUGCACAAUGGGCGCAAGCCUGAUGCAGCAACGCCGCGUGAGGGAUGACGGCCUUCGGGUUGUAAACCUCUUUUAGCAGGGAAGAAGCGAGAGUGACGGUACCUGCAGAAAAAGCACCGGCUAACUACGUGCCAGCAGCCGCGGUAAUACGUAGGGUGCAAGCGUUAUCCGGAAUUAUUGGGCGUAAAGAGCUCGUAGGCGGUUUGUCGCGUCUGCUGUGAAAUCUGGGGGCUCAACCCCCAGCCUGCAGUGGGUACGGGCAGACUAGAGUGCGGUAGGGGAGAUUGGAAUUCCUGGUGUAGCGGUGGAAUGCGCAGAUAUCAGGAGGAACACCGAUGGCGAAAGCAGAUCUCUGGGCCGUAACUGACGCUGAGGAGCGAAAGGGUGGGGAGCAAACAGGCUUAGAUACCCUGGUAGUCCACCCCGUAAACGUUGGGAACUAGUUGUGGGGUCCAUUCCACGGAUUCCGUGACGCAGCUAACGCAUUA